UUGGGAGGGGAUUAACUUUUGACAGUGGUGGCUACAACCUCAAGACUGGAGUUGGUUCGAAGAUUGAGCUAAUGAAGUAUGACAUGGGAGGGGCUGCCACUGUUUUAGGUGCAACAAAAGCUCUUGGUGAAAUUAGGCCUUUUGGAGUAGAGGUGCAUUUCAUUGUUGCAGCUUGUGAAAAUAUGAUCAGUGGAGCAGGCAUGAGGCCUGGUGACAUUGUCA
Long non-coding RNA from Solanum tuberosum (potato), 222 nucleotides. RefSeq lists it as uncharacterized. The transcript has 3 exons. The record is from RefSeq and is a predicted model, not a curated record. NCBI's taxonomy places the organism in Eukaryota, Viridiplantae, Streptophyta, Magnoliopsida, Solanales, Solanaceae.